RNAcentral lists this ribosomal RNA (483 nucleotides) under uncultured bacterium. Its description in RNAcentral is "partial 16S ribosomal RNA". It matches the Rfam family "Bacterial small subunit ribosomal RNA", at positions 30 to 507 of the family's 1533-position model. The record is from RNAcentral.
AUUGAACGCUGGCGGCAGGCCUAACACAUGCAAGUCGAGCGGAUGAAGGGAGCUUGCUCCUGGAUUCAGCGGCGGACGGGUGAGUAAUGCCUAGGAAUCUGCCUGGUAGUGGGGGAUAACGUCCGGAAACGGGCGCUAAUACCGCAUACGUCCUGAGGGAGAAAGUGGGGGUCUUCGGAACUCACGCCAUCAAAUGAGCCUAGGUCGGAUUAGCUAGUUGGUGGGGUAAAGGCCUACCAAGGCGACGAUCCGUAACUGGUCUGAGAGGAUGAUCAGUCACACUGGAACUGAGACACGGUCCAGACUCCUACGGGAGGCAGCAGUGGGGAAUAUUGGACAAUGGGCGAAAGCCUGAUCCAGCCAUGCCGCGUGUGUGAAGAAGGUCUUCGGAUUGUAAAGCACUUUAAGUUGGGAGGAAGGGCAGUAAGUUAAUACCUUGCUGUUUUGACGUUACCAACAGAAUAAGCACCGGCUAACUUCGUG